GAUGAAGAACGUAGCGAAAUGCGAUAAGUAAUGUGAAUUGCAGAAUUCAGUGAAUCAUCGAAUCUUUGAACGCACAUUGCGCCCCUUGGUAUUCCGAGGGGCAUGCCUGUUCGAGCGUCAUAUUAACCACUCCCGCUUGCGGGGUCUUGGGCUUCGCCUCCGGGCGGGCCUUAAAAUCAGUGGCGGUGCCGUCGGGCUCUACGCGUAGUAAAUUUUCUCGCGAUAGGGUCCCGGUGGAUGCUUGCCAACAACCCCCAACUUCUUAAGGUUGACCUCGGAUCAGGUAGGGAUACCCGCUGAACUUAAGCAUAUCAAUAAGCGGGGA
RNAcentral lists this unclassified non-coding RNA (325 nucleotides) under soil metagenome. RNAcentral describes it as "partial contains 5.8S ribosomal RNA, internal transcribed spacer 2, and large subunit ribosomal RNA". The stretch from base 1 to 120 matches the Rfam family "5.8S ribosomal RNA", at positions 35 to 154 of the family's 154-position model. The record is from RNAcentral.